Molecule: ribosomal RNA, 253 nt
Filed under: uncultured bacterium
Lineage: Bacteria
Description: partial 16S ribosomal RNA
Rfam family: Bacterial small subunit ribosomal RNA
Source: RNAcentral
UACGAAGGGUGCAAGCGUUACUCGGAAUUACUGGGCGUAAAGCGUGCGUAGGUGGUUUGUUAAGUCUGCUGUGAAAUCCCCGGGCUCAACCUGGGAAUGGCAGUGGAUACUGGCAAGCUAGAGUGCGGUAGAGGGUAGUGGAAUUCCCGGCGUAGCGGUGGAAUGCGUAGAGAUCCGGAAGAACACCGGUGGCGAAGGCGGUCUGCUGGGCAGUAGCUGACACUGAGGCGCGACAGCGUGGGGAGCAAACAGG